GCGUGUACAGCAUGUUUUUAUUUCGACCUGUUGCUUUUGUUCUAUCUUUUAAACCAAUAGUUUUUCAUCGCUACCCCGCUGGCUCAACUUGGCAUGUCGUACCUCCCAGAUGCGGUUGCCUGAAACAGGUCUUAUCCAAACCAGCUGAACGCGGUGGCAUGUGACCUAAGACAAUUGCCAUUUCCAACAGAGACCCAACAAGGCGACUUAUUCGCCGGGUUACGCACCGCAGCAAGCAAGCUCCUUCCACAUCUUCUCACUUUGAAUUGGCCGCAGAUAUAACUAUUUCUGUGUUAUUGUCUAUUAUUAAACUCGGCAGGCGACUUCCUUCACUAAGGACAGCCUUUCCUUUAAUCGCCGUUUGAUUCUACUGAGUGUCGUGAGGGUCUGCUGUCCCAGCAUUUUAUCCUAGGUUUCGCAGAGGUACCUAAUCUGAAGUCGCAGGCCAAAGACGAUACGCUGAGACCGCGUUGCGAAUAUGAAACAACUCAUCUGUCAGUCACUCGAUCAAUUAAUCUGAUGACUAUUGUUGAUGUCUAUCGCAGCUUGACUCCGAAGCCGUCACUUCGGUCCUCGUGACGGGAAGGGCUACAUGAAGAAAAAUUGUCUCGAAGUGAAUGAGGCUUGGUGAGUGAUUGAUGACAAUAAAAUGGAUUUAGGACACGGUCGACUUUUAUGCCUACGAAAAUAUUCGAGUUGAAUAUAGAAGAGGAAGGCUGGCAUAUGAUUUUUUUUGUUGACUCUAUCUGGUUCUUGACGAAAUGAAUCGAGAUUUUCUCUGCAUUCAUUAUGUGAUCCGAAAAUGCGCGGAUCACACUUGGCUAAGGGUCAGAGAACUGUAGUAUAGGCCCAAUUACUUUAUACUGUUGUUACACUUUAAGCAUAACAGUGCGGUGGGAAGGAUUAAGCAGUAACCGCAUCUUAACAAAGUUACUACAUAUGUCAGAUAUAAAUGUAUGGGCAUUGCUUAAGUGUCCGAUCAGCGUAGGUCAUCGCGUUGCUUUUAGCUGAGUACUAGCAUUUCCUUUUUGUUUUUUGUUCCCAUUACAGCUGAUUCCGUGUGCCAGCUUCAUCGUAUUUUACUUCCGCAGAACAUCUACGUUUAACAAAGUGUAGUUUAUCAAGUCGUUCCAGGGAAGGCAAAAAAAAAUUGAGAAGCUGGCUAUUAUUUGUUAAAAUAUAACACGGAAGCCUUUACGUUCCUAUGCAAAGGCUUAGCGUUUAAAUGACAGACAUAAAUCAUUCGUAAUCAAGCUUGCCGUACCAAUGAAACGUUCCUUUGUAUAUUACAUUCGUCUGCUAGCGUCCAAUCCAUAAUUAUGCAUAACAUAUAAACGUUCCAAUAUUACAGUUCAAUUCUAAAUUAUUCAUGUGUACUCCUACUUCAAAACUUUGCCGGUACAACAAAACACCGAAUCCAAUCAACGUUUACUACACACCGCCUCGUAUUCGUUACCGAGGAAUAUGCUUAAUUUCUGUCCAACCGUCUAUAUCCUAGCAGAUUUGUCCCGGCAGGUAUAGCAUUAUUUCAGUCGUAGCUAACUCUAAUAUUAGUAAUUAUGUUUGUUGUCCUAGGUAUCAGCAUGUACAUAGAAAUCGUCCGCAGCUGGAAGGACGUAAUGCAUUCUGACGGUAACGACCCGUCGCUCACUAGGCGAUGCCUAUGAAGAGUUAGAGGUUGAGGUGAACCGCCUCCCUAGGUUGACGGAGAGCCAAUGCUUAAAGAACUAAUAACAUAUGCAUCUAUUAGACGAGCGCUAGUUUUAUAAGUUACAAUGCCGUCGUUGCUUGGGGCAGGAUUCGUCUCCACUGGGCAGUAAACCUGUUACAAUUUAUGAAAUCUUUUGUAAAGCGAAAAUCAUGGAGCGUUCUAGUACGUUUAGAUAGAUAUUAUUUGCAGCUUGUUAUUACUUGUGAAUACAAUUGUUGGUUAUAGUAAAUUUCCUAGAAUUAAUUGGCUAGCACAAAAACAUACGAAGCAUAUAAUCUUUAUAAAUACAUAGUGGUGCCAGAGAAACAGGUUUGUACUUUGUCUGGCAUUGGCCAACGCUGGCUUCCACUUAAGUUUAUAGUUAGAACAAGCGCUGCCUGAAAUGUGGGUCCCAUUUUCUCUAAAAUAUAAUUUUACUUAGUGCUAACACUAGGUCGAUUUUUAGUCACUUCGUCUAAAGCUGAAGGUCUCAAAGUGCAUUGGCUAAGCAUUUCGUCGUACGUUAUUUCAACAUCGUAUAUAACCACCCUAAUCUAUCUUUUCUAGCUCAAUAACAGUGAAAAUGUCAUGGGUCGCGUGAAUAGGUGUUGCACUCCGUGAGGUGCGCUCCAAGUAGAAAGCGCACCCGCGCCAUUACAUUGCAUGCAGUCGACGACAACGAUAGCCUGUGUUUAUACCUAAAAUACCCAGCUUGAUCCUAAGCAUCAUAGCAGAGACUCAUUCUGUCGUCGAUGGUAUCGUGCCAGUUUGAUUUCUGGGUUUUAUGCCUAGCUGUGGUAAAAUAAGCGUUCGUUGCACUUGUUAUUGCUGACCAUAUGCGUUCGGGCGCUGGAACUACGGCUGCGCUUAGCAGCUACAUUGCUUUAAGUCAAAUGCGGCUGCCCACUUAUCGGAACAGAUCAUAAUUUGCGUUGCUCUAUUUGAAGAUAAAACAAGAAAAAGGUUAUUUUUGAUAGGACCACAUAUAAAUAAACGCCCGCCUGCUGUAUGGUCGAGCCAAUGGAAAACGCGUGUUGUAAAUUUACUAUUAGUUAUUAUUCCAUUCCACCGCUCUCGCCGGAAAUGCUAAUGUACCACACAGGCAUAUCAAACAUGUACCUGCCUAUGGAAAUACGUCGCCACGAGAAACUCAUCGAUGUUAUGUACUCAAUACCCCACGUCCCGGUCUCCUCUUUGUGCAAAAUAAUAGGCUAAAGCUUUGACUACGAGUUUCCUACGUGCAUGAAUGCCCACAGGCUUUGAGUUUGAACAGGUUUGCUGAUGCCGCGGCUGUGUAACAACCGAAGUAAGGCUCACCGUCUUCUGCCCCAUUUGCCGUCUACGUCGCCAUGAUGACAACAUUCUUAUUAGUCGUGGCCGGCUUUUUUUUUUCGUUUCAUCAUUUGAACCAGUCGGGAACUUGCGGGACAUGCAGCUUUCAUCCAUGUAAGCUAACUGUGUUAGAUACAGCGACCGGGAACAGCGAGUUCCAGCUUUUUGAUGGGAGCUCACAAAUCAACUUCGAGACAUUCUCUCUAUAGUUCGCCAUUCAUCGCGAACAGGGACUGAACUGGCUUGCUCGGAGUGGGUAGGCUCAGGGUCAGUAAAAUCCAGUCGACCGACAUAUACACAUGAAACCUUACUCCAUCGUGCUUCGUCCUGCUUCAACAUCAGCAUCAGCUGUCCAUGUUGUUACUGUUAUUUAGACGCCAAGACUCGCUCUAAACACGCGGCAGUGCACUCGAUCAGACAUAGUUGCACCGGGGUGGGCCGCCGUACUACAUAUAUAACAAGUAACUUACACCAUAUGUGCUAUCACUCAUGUACAUGAAAUCUACCAGUGAGUUUGUAUGAACGUAAAUAUUUAAUCAUUGUAUUUUCACUGCGCCAAUUCGACUGGCAGAGUAAGCCGUUUUCCUAUAACGUUAUCGUCCGAAAAUUGAAUCAGAUUAAAACUCAAUUUUUGCCCUUAGAAGAGUCCGUAAUUUCUCGUCACUUUGCUACGGGCAACAUUGCUCCAAUGAAAGGCUUUAACCGUUUUUGGUAAGCGUCUGCACAAUCUUAGGCCACUUGAAA
Varroa destructor (honeybee mite) is the source of this 3766-nucleotide long non-coding RNA. RefSeq lists it as uncharacterized. The record is from RefSeq and is a predicted model, not a curated record. Lineage: Eukaryota; Metazoa; Arthropoda; Arachnida; Mesostigmata; Varroidae.